AGAGUUUGAUCAUGGCUCAGGACGAACGCUGGCGGCGUGCUUAACACAUGCAAGUCGAGCGGUAAGGCCCCUUCGGGGGUACACGAGCGGCGAACGGGUGAGUAACACGUGAGCAAUCUGCCCUUCACACGGGGAUAACCACCGGAAACGGUGGCUAAUACCCGAUACGACCACUUCAGGCAUCUGAUGGUGGUGGAAAGUUCCGGCGGUGGAGGAUGAGCUCGCGGCCUAUCAGCUUGUUGGUGGGGUAAUGGCCUACCAAGGCAACGACGGGUAGCCGGCCUGAGAGGGUGACCGGCCACACUGGGACUGAGACACGGCCCAGACUCCUACGGGAGGCAGCAGUGGGGAAUAUUGGACAAUGGGCGAAAGCCUGAUCCAGCAACGCCGCGUGAGGGAUGACGGCCUUCGGGUUGUAAACCUCUUUCAGCAGGGACGAAGCGCAAGUGACGGUACCUGCAGAAGAAGCACCGGCCAACUACGUGCCAGCAGCCGCGGUAAUACGUAGGGUGCGAGCGUUGUCCGGAAUUAUUGGGCGUAAAGGGCUCGUAGGCGGUUUGUCGCGUCGGGAGUGAAAACUCAGGGCUUAACCCUGAGCCUGCUUCCGAUACGGGCAGACUAGAGGUAUGCAGGGGAGAACGGAAUUCCUGGUGUAGCGGUGAAAUGCGCAGAUAUCAGGAGGAACACCGGUGGCGAAGGCGGUUCUCUGGGCAUUACCUGACGCUGAGGAGCGAAAGUGUGGGGAGCGAACAGGAUUAGAUACCCUGGUAGUCCACACCGUAAACGUUGGGCGCUAGGUGUGGGACUCAUUCCACGAGUUCCGUGCCGCAGCUAACGCAUUAAGCGCCCCGCCUGGGGAGUACGGCCGCAAGGCUAAAACUCAAAGGAAUUGACGG
This 896-nucleotide ribosomal RNA is filed under the name uncultured bacterium. RNAcentral's name for it is "bacterial SSU rRNA". It matches the Rfam family "Bacterial small subunit ribosomal RNA", at positions 8 to 916 of the family's 1533-position model. The record is from RNAcentral.